RNAcentral lists this long non-coding RNA (325 nucleotides) under Trifolium pratense (red clover). RNAcentral's name for it is "long non-coding RNA (TPRA_LNC007026)". The record is from RNAcentral. Lineage: Eukaryota; Viridiplantae; Streptophyta; Magnoliopsida; Fabales; Fabaceae.
GCGACAUAAACCUUUCCAAUCUUUUCUCACUAUCCCUUUCCGGGUCAUUAUCCCUUACCACCAAUGUAGUCAAAGCAGUCAAAGCUUGUGCAAUCUGAGCGUUGGUCCUAGCGGCAGCCAUGAUUCCUGAACGAAUCACAACUCGACGUNNNNNNNNNNNACACAUGCUUCAUACAAGAGAAAGAAAAUCCAAAUGGCUCACAUGAACCGACCUGCUCUGAUACCACUAUUGUAACACCCCGAACUAACUACCCUUAAAAACGUGAUCUUAAAAACUCUUUAAAGAUAAGUAGCCGGAGCGCUACGGAAAACAAUUUUAUAAAAC